UACAUUUUGCAUUUUUCCACACAUCCUUGUCACAUCAAAGAAAUAGUUUUGGAUCCUUCAGAUGAGCAGAUAAAGGAAGUCCCCCAGCUCUGGGUUACAGAAGAAAGAACGAGGCCAUCAUGCCCAAGGCUUCUGGAGCUUUGAGUCUCAGUGGCAUUAAAUAAUCUAACUAGAAUCGGAGAAAAUGACAGGCUGGCCGUGAACUGUGUAGCCCAGGUCAAGCUCUAACUCUCAAUCCUCCUGCCUCAGCCUCCUAAGCAUUGGAAUUACAGAGAUGACAUUGCUGGAAAGAGUG
This is a non-coding RNA of Castor canadensis (American beaver), 295 nucleotides long. The record is from RefSeq and is a predicted model, not a curated record. Lineage: Eukaryota; Metazoa; Chordata; Mammalia; Rodentia; Castoridae.